UACGGGGGGGGCAAGCGUUGUUCGGAAUUACUGGGCGUAAAGGGCUCGUAGGCGGCCAACUAAGUCAGACGUGAAAUCCCUCGGCUUAACCGGGGAACUGCAUCUGAUACUGGAUGGCUUGAGUUCGGGAGAGGGAUGCGGAAUUCCAGGUGUAGCGGUGAAAUGCGUAGAUAUCUGGAGGAACACCGGUGGCGAAGGCGGCAUCCUGGACCGAUAUUGACGCUGAGGAGCGAAAGCUAGGGGAGCAAACGGG
RNAcentral lists this ribosomal RNA (253 nucleotides) under uncultured bacterium. Its description in RNAcentral is "partial 16S ribosomal RNA". It matches the Rfam family "Bacterial small subunit ribosomal RNA", at positions 524 to 776 of the family's 1533-position model. The record is from RNAcentral.